Eriocheir sinensis (Chinese mitten crab) is the source of this 392-nucleotide long non-coding RNA. RefSeq lists it as uncharacterized. The transcript is spliced from 3 exons. The record is from RefSeq and is a predicted model, not a curated record. Lineage: Eukaryota; Metazoa; Arthropoda; Malacostraca; Decapoda; Varunidae.
UGACGGAGCCCACAUACGAGGAGUCCGGCGGUAGUGGCGCGUGCCCUGUCGUAAGUGUAACCAUUACGUACCCUUUGAGGCUCCUAAAUACUCUUCCGAACGCAUGUGACCAGUUGCUGUGUCGCGUGUAACCUAGAUUGACGCAGCGACGGAGGGGCAGCCUGAGGGACCGAACACCGAUUCCUGGAGGCUUCGUGAUCAUCGUGAUGCGCCAUGAGUUCCUACAGACCGUGCCUUCCUACAAGGACAAGCUGGAGCCUUACAUGGACCAGCUGGAGGCGGACGGGAAGUGGAAGAAGGUGGAGCGGCGCAUCGUCCCAAACUAUUUCUGUGACAAGGAGGGUCUCGUCUUCGUCUUCCGCAUCACUAAGCCUGAGUGAGGAGGAAGAGGA